RNAcentral lists this ribosomal RNA (33 nucleotides) under uncultured Glomus. RNAcentral's name for it is "partial 28S ribosomal RNA". Lineage: Eukaryota; Fungi; Glomeromycota; Glomeromycetes; Glomerales; Glomeraceae. The record is from RNAcentral.
GGCAAGAAUACCCGCUGAACUUAAGCAUAUCAA